GAUGAACGCUGGCGGCGUGCCUAAUACAUGCAAGUCGAGCGAACAGACGAGGAGCUUGCUCCUCUGACGUUAGCGGCGGACGGGUGAGGAACACGUGGAUAACCUAUCUAUAAGACUGGGAUAACUUCGGGAAACCGGAGCUAAUACCGGAUAAUAUAUUGAACCGCAUGGUUCAAUAGUGAAAGACGGUUUUGCUGUCACUUAUAGAUGGAUCCGCGCCGCAUUAGCUAGUUGGUAAGGUAACGGCUUACCAAGGCAACGAUGCGUAGCCGACCUGAGAGGGUGAUCGGCCACACUGGAACUGAGACACGGUCCAGACUCCUACGGGAGGCAGCAGUAGGGAAUCUUCCGCAAUGGGCGAAAGCCUGACGGAGCAACGCCGCGUGAGUGAUGAAGGUCUUCGGAUCGUAAAACUCUGUUAUUAGGGAAGAACAAAUGUGUAAGUAACUAUGCACGUCUUGACGGUACCUAAUCAGAAAGCCCCGGCUAACUACGUG
RNAcentral lists this ribosomal RNA (497 nucleotides) under uncultured bacterium. RNAcentral's name for it is "partial 16S ribosomal RNA". It matches the Rfam family "Bacterial small subunit ribosomal RNA", at positions 28 to 507 of the family's 1533-position model. The record is from RNAcentral.